GAUCAUACAUAUUACAAGUUGUCCUGCAUUUUGUUAAAUUAACAUAAUUGCCUUGCAUUGUAAUGUUAUAGCAGUGGUCACAAUUUCUAAAAUUUUGUCUUUAUUCACAACAGAAAGCAAUAGUCUUUUUAAAGACUCUCUCCGUCUCUACCCUCGCAUCCAUCUGUGGAAGACUUUCUCCAAAGACUCUCCAAAGACUUUCCUCCCAUCUUGUCUUCCCUUGCGGUGCUACAGACUUUUCAGAAAACAGACAAACUCCAGGCUUGCCUCAAGACAGCGGUUACAGCAGCUAUAUACCCUCAGUCCCUUAAGGUGGUGACGUCUCAGGCUCGUUCCAGACCAGCCUUCACCACCAGAGGGGUGUCUGUCUGCCACCUGUGUCUGUUUGUCUGUACGCACCUGUACACGUCUACGUCUGUCCACACUACACGCAUACACACUAACAACAUUACUUGACAUCAUUGCUGACAACAGAACCCACUUACCUACAUACCUGCAUACAUAUUUGGGACAAGAAUUCUUAACACUGUCUGAUUACAUACCUGCUGCACAUACCUGGCACAUACUUUGAUCACAUACUGUUUGUCUUGUCUGUGCACGAAAGAUACAUUACUGACAACAUUGCUGACAUCACUGACAUCAUCUCUGACAACAUAACCCACUUACCUACAUACCUGCAUACAUAUUGCUGACAAGAAUUCUUAACACUGUCUGAUACAUACCUGCUGCAAAUACCUGCUGCACAUACCUGAAUGUACAU
Sardina pilchardus (European sardine) is the source of this 760-nucleotide long non-coding RNA. RefSeq lists it as uncharacterized. Lineage: Eukaryota; Metazoa; Chordata; Actinopteri; Clupeiformes; Clupeidae. The transcript is spliced from 3 exons. The record is from RefSeq and is a predicted model, not a curated record.